RNAcentral lists this transfer RNA (87 nucleotides) under Bacteroidota bacterium. Its description in RNAcentral is "Bacteroidetes bacterium (hot springs metagenome) tRNA-Leu". It matches the Rfam family "tRNA". Rfam says of the family: Transfer RNA (tRNA) molecules are approximately 80 nucleotides in length. Their secondary structure includes four short double-helical elements and three loops (D, anti-codon, and T loops). Lineage: Bacteria; Pseudomonadati; Bacteroidota. The record is from RNAcentral.
GCCCAGAUGGCGGAAUUGGUAGACGCGCCGCUUUGAGGGGGCGGUGGCCGAAAGGCCGUAGGAGUUCGAGUCUCCUUCUGGGCACUA